RNAcentral lists this ribosomal RNA (388 nucleotides) under uncultured eukaryote. Its description in RNAcentral is "partial 18S ribosomal RNA". It matches the Rfam family "Eukaryotic small subunit ribosomal RNA", at positions 592 to 976 of the family's 1831-position model. The record is from RNAcentral.
CAAUAGCGUAUAUUGAAGUUGUUGCAGUUAAAAAGCUCGUAGUUGGAUUUCUGAUCGAGACAUCAGGUCGGGUCCGAGAGGAUCAUGUACUUUGAUUUUGUUUUGAUCAUCCUUGGGGAGAGCAUUUCUGGCAUUCAGUUGUCGGGAUUGGGAUCCUCAUCGUUUACUGUGAAAAAAUUAGAGUGUUCAAAGCAGGCCUCGGCCUCUGAAUACAUUAGCAUGGAAUAAUAAGAUAGGACUUUGGUGGUCUAUUUUGUUGGUUUGCACGCCAAAGUAAUGAUUAAUAGGGAUAGUUGGGGGUAUUCGUAUUCAAUUGUCAGAGGUGAAAUUCUUGGAUUUAUGGAAGACGAACUACUGCGAAAGCAUUUACCAAGGAUGUUUUCAUUAA